This 76-nucleotide transfer RNA is filed under the name Thermodesulfobacteriota bacterium. RNAcentral's name for it is "tRNA-Ala". It matches the Rfam family "tRNA". From Rfam's summary of the family: Transfer RNA (tRNA) molecules are approximately 80 nucleotides in length. Lineage: Bacteria; Pseudomonadati; Thermodesulfobacteriota. The record is from RNAcentral. RNAcentral also lists the same sequence under 1 other name.
GGGGCUGUAGCUCAGAUGGGAGAGCGUGUGACUGGCAGUCACAAGGUCGUGGGUUCGAUCCCCAUCAGCUCCACCA